CUCUUUGCAGAGUGCAUCGGAUCAGGAGCAAUCUUCUCGUUGUCUGGUUACAUUUCUUUAUUUUCCCCCUUCUAUUUAAUCCUCUCUAGUGCCUUAAUUAAUUUAAUUUCCCUUUUUUCCUGUUUGAUUUCUCACCCCACCCCUUUCCCUGCCCUGUGGGAAGAUUCUCCCUGUACCUGUGAGCGCUGCCUGUGCGUAAUCCUCCUGGGCUUGCCUUUCCCAAUAGGGAGAGAGCCCCCAUUAGGGGCUUUCUUUUGCAAAGAGGUUUUCCCCAUUUUUGCCUGUUUAAUUGUGGGGCUAGUCAGGGCUGUUCCCAGCUUAGCUGGAAUCACUUCGUUUAUAGUAUCCCCAAAGGUGGCUUUAUUUUGGGUGCAUGCAGUGCUGUUGGCUGAGUUUUAAUUUAGCCUUGGGCAGGAGCACUAUAUUGAGUUCCUUUAAUAUUGCAAUGAGACAAUAAAAGGCAGAGAGCAGAAGCAGGGAGGCCAUCACAGCCUGCACGGCCUGCACAUAUCAUUCAAGCCUAAGCCUGCUACAGUUAGCAGUACAGUAAUUGUUAAGUCUCUGUGAUGUGACUCACUUUCUCUAUAAGAAUUUAUCUGUUUGUUUGCAGGCUCACUUGUUGCUAAUGUAUAUCUUAGGCAGACAGAGUGGAGCCAGAGGCUCUCUGUGCCUCCAGUGAGCACUCUGUGUAUGCUCUUUAACUAUGCUGUUUCAGAACAAGUUUAUUUUCUUCAAGUUUGUUUUGCCCUGAUAGUGGCAAUUGCCAUUUUAGAGACGAGCCAUUGUGGCUUAGUGGCUAGAGCGCAGUACUAGGACCUGGGAGACAGGGUUCAUAUCCCCCACUUAGCCAUUGUUAUCACAAAACAAAACAAGCUGCUCCUUUUGGACUAUUUUGUUGCUGGGUAGUUCGGCCCAUUUGUGAUAUUGCUCCCAAAAAGAACUUUGGGUUUUCUUGAGGAGGUGCUUCCCCCUAAAGGGCAAACAGGGGUACCUGGACAGGCGGUGGGCUGCCUCGAGUUUGUUAUCUCAUUGGAAACAUUUAUGUCUGGCCUAGCAGGUGAUCUUAGGGCUUGGCCCUAGAAUUUGAUGGCCUCUGGCAGCGUUUCCGGCCUGAAUAGCUUCCCCAUGUGGUGCACAAAGCAUUGGUUUCACCAGUUCCUCACAUUUAGUUUUGCAGACUAUGACAGGGCCUUUGCAGAUGCCUCCAGAGCUUGCCUCUCCUGCAGAGGUUGACUUGCUGAUGCCCUAGGUGCCUUCUUCCAGAAGGAAGCGUCUUCGGAGGCGGCGAUCCAGGAGCAGGGAAAAGGGGAGCAGGGAUGAUGCUUACACCUCCUUGCAGGUACGUCAAACCUGGGUCUUUAGGGAUCAUCCUGGAUAGCUCAGCUGGUCAGCGUAUGGUGCCGGUAAUACCUAGGUUGCAGUAUUGGUCCCUGUAUGGGACAGCUGCAUGUUCCCCAUCACUCUACCCGGUCACUGAGGUCCAGCGCCGAGGGCCUUCUGGUGGUUCCCUCACUGUGAGAGGCCAAGUUACAGGGCACCAUGUGGAGGACCUUCUCGGUAGUGGCACCCGCCAUGUGGUACGCCCUCCCAUCAGAUGUCUACUACCAGACUUUUAGAAGACGUCUAAGGCAGCCCUGUUUAGGGAAGCCUUUAAUGUUUGCUGCAUUACUCUAUUUCAAUCUUUUGUUGUAAGCUGCCCAGAGUGGCUGGGGAACAAAUAGAUGAUGAUGAUGAUGAUGAUGAUGAUGAUAUUGUGGGAGAGUGGACCAGAUGAUCCUCAGGGUCCCUUCCACCCCACUAUUCUUUAAGUUGCAAUUCACUAUGGGAAUGUUAGAUGCAGGGCUGCCAUCAUCCCCUCAGCUUGCUAGGAUCGCAGGGACGGGGACAUGUGGACCACUUGUGCAGCUCUACAUUUCAAAUGGAAAUUCCCUGAGCUAUGGAACCUUAAGCUGGUAUGCAGGAAGCUGGCCCGGCAGCAGCUUUGUUGGGACUUUUUAGGGUUUCUGGCCGGCGUUGGCCCUGCAAAUUUACACAUCAUGGUGGCAACACAAGGCAGGGCAUUUUGCCCAAUGUGGGGGCUGGGGGCUAGCAAGCAAUAACUCAAUACCUCUCGCCCAUAUUUCCAUAAAAAUAUCUUCCUUGAAAGCCUGGCCAAAUGGUUAUCUAGAUAGGUCAGUGGUUUUGUGCUUGUGGGAAGGGUUUUCCCAAGGUUUGGGAUUCCUCUGGCUCUUCAGCCAGUGGCUCAGAAUACAGCAACUCAAAGCCAGUCAGAGAGCUACCUGUGGUAGCAAGUAAGAAGGUUAGGAAGCAGCUUUCAUUGGGACGUAUGGUGGUAUCCCCUUGAUUCUCCUGCUAUUCCUAUUUUCAUUUAUCCCCUUUGGGGAUCGUCCCUAAGAAAGCCCCAUAUAAUCCCCCAUAUAAUUUAUCGCAUCCCAAAGGCACCUCAGUGAAUGACUCUCUGGAAUUGUUCCGCAAAAUAUGCAUCUUUGGAUCAGGCAGUUGAGCUUACCAACAUAUUGGAAGAGGGCCUUGUUGGCAUUAUGCGAUUUUGAAUUGACUGUUAGGCUGCUGCCGGUUCACCCUCAAGAUUAUAAGUAGUUGGGCUUAAUUGGAUGGUCCUUACACUUAUAAGGCGAUGCCAAUGGGUUGCGCUAUAGGCUGUGCAGCACUCGAGUCCUUUAGCGUCUUUCUGGAUUGAACAUUGCAAGUCAAGACUUGUUUAACUGGGGGUACCAUUAUUUGGAUUAUCUUACUAGUUGGUUCAUGUGAAACCAGCCUCUGCUAAGGCUUACUGUACGCCCCUUUUAUUCCCUGAGGAGCUGGGUGUUCCCAGUGGAUAGGACAGUGGCUCCUACUGCCCCUUUUAAUGUAUUUGGGGGCUAGCUGGAUACCGUUGCUCGUACCUCUGCUUGCCUGUGGAAAAGCUGUUUGCCGUGAAGGACGUUAUUCUUGUAAUACUUCCUCUGAUAGCAAAUGUUGCUUUGUCAGAUUCUAUCAUUGCUAGGUCAGUAAAAAAAAAAAAGUGGCAUGCAGGGUGGUUGUUCCAGGCUGCCCCUUCCAUUCCUGCUUGGCCAGGUGGGGUCUCAUGGCCCAGGGUCCCUUCAUCAUCCUGUACAGUGGCCUUGAGCCUGGCAGGGCAAGGCAAUCACAUGUGACCUAACUUUUCUUGAGUUUUCCCCAUUGUAGUCUCAGCGCACAUCUGGACUGAGGAGUACAGGGACCAUCGGGUCUGUCUUGGUCUGAUAACCAGGCAGUGUGAGGGUCCUGGCAAAAUGGUCCUCAUGCUUCGGCAGAGUCUCCGUCCCCUUUUAUGUGCUUUCCAGCUGCACUGCUUAAGGUUUAAUAUUGCGUUUCUGCUCGCUUUAUUACGGGAUCAUCUAAUGUUUUCGCUGUCACUCUAUCCCGUUUUCAGUUGGAGAGCUUCAGAUCCUGGCCUCUGGAUGCCCAGCUAUAGCCGGAUUUUCUGGAGCUCCUGUGGCGCUUUGGCAACAAUUGAUAAUUAAGAGGAGUAGUAGCUUACAUUUCCCCUUCUGCUUUCAGGCCUGGACUGAUUUCUUAGCAUUUAGCUGGCAGUCCUCGGCCAUUCAGAGGAACUUGCCUCCAUCCUCUGAGCAGGACCUGCAGUAAUUGGACUACCUGCUGCAGAUCGGAUGCACUGUUAAAACUAUCAGAAUUCAGUCCACUGCAAUGUCUGCUAGAGUAAAGCUUUAAUUUUUCAGAGACCCUUCUAAAAGUGUGUCGUGCGCAGGGUCUCGGAAGGUUGUAGAAGGCUCCAGCCUUCACAGGACUGCAGGCAGGAAGCCGGUCAAUCUUGACCUAUGCAGUAUCCGCAACAAGUUAAGACUUGUCUCCUGCUUCUAGAUCUAGACGAGACUUCUUUCAGUAUUCCAUUGUAAUUUUGGUGUACUGAGGGUUGGGGAAAUUGUGUUGGAGCCAGCACAGGGCUGAGAGUUUGGAGGCUUAUUGCCUCUGGAUUUUUCCUUAUCUGCUUUGGAGCUUGUCAUAAGUGUCUGGAGCUCUAAGUCAGACCUAGUGGGCUGGGUUGCCAUCAUCGGGCUUCCAGUCACAGGUAGGUGGGCCCUUGCCCUGUUAUUGGAUACCAGAAAUAUUUGGCUUUUCGUUCCCCUGGGGGCUGGCUCGAUCCUAGAAGUUGCUGGUUCUCGUGGGUUGCUCCUUCGGGAUAUAUGCGUUUCCCUUUGGAGUUGAGACUUGUAGUGCGCAACUCCAAAACUGACCAGCUGGGUCGGGGGGGAGGUUGUCCGCCUCCCAGCGACUGGGGAGGUGGGCCCGUGCCCGGUCAGGGAUGUAAGGAAGUACUUGGCCUUGAGACCUCCUGGGGAUGGCCCCCUACUCAUGCAUGAAAAUGGUCACCCUUUGGCGCGACACCAGUUCACAAAAGUCAUGCGUAAGGCCAUCUCUGCUUGUGGGAUCUCGGCCUCUGGUUUCGCCCCUCAUUCCUUUCGCAUAGGUGCAGCAACUAUGGCGGCCCAUUGGGGCUUCUCAGGCGCCAGGAUCAAGGAUUUGGGGAGAUGGAAAUCGUAUGCUUUCAAGGGUUAAGUGCGAAACAAAAUGCUGAGUUUGGUACUAAUGCUUGUUUGUUUCAACCCUUGCAGAUCCCACGCUGGUCCGCGUCUGGAUAGUGGGACACAGCAUCGUUCAUUGGGCUGGCAGCAGAGCGAGGCAGUCUGCAAGGGAGCGUGUCUCGGCCUCCCACAGCACGUGCAAGUGUCAUGGUUUUCCAGACGUGGAAUGUCAUGGGGAGAGCUUAUGCCGCUGAUUGGUCGCCGGCUGCUCUCGGACCUGCCCACCCUAUGGCCAUAGUGGUGCAGCUGGGGAAAAAAUGAUGUGGCAACUAUUGAUUGCCUUGCUUUGCGCACCUCAGUCCAAAAGGGAUUUGGAGGCAUUGGCAGCCUUAUUACCUUCAGUGAGAAUAAUUUGGUCUCACCUGUUGCAGAGGCAAACCUGGCACGGUGUUUCCCGCCCAGAGGCCGCUGAAAGGGCCAGGAAGCGCAUUAACUCUGCUGUUUGCGUGAAGGUAUUGGAGCUGGGUGGUUUGGUGAUUUCGCACCCAGACAUUAAUUUUAAGGCUGAGGCCCUUUACCGGGCAGAUGGAGUGCACCUCUCCGAUUUGGGGAAUGAUGUUUGGCUGCAUGCGGUGGCUACUAAAUUGGGUUCAUGGUUGGGUUUGUGAGUGGUUGGCGGCGAGCGUUAGAGCUCGUGUGGCGGUUAGGCAUUGGUUAUAAUAUGCUGGUGGUGGAGGGGUCAGGAUAGGCCGUGCCUGCCCCUCCCAUUGCGCUGAAGGGAAUUCCGUUAAAGGAAUCCUGGGGCUUGCCAUGAUUUCGUCCAAUCCCUGUCAUGGGACCAGGGCCGCCCAAUCCCUGUCAUGGGAAUCCUUGUCAUAGGAUCUGGGCCGGCAAGCUUUUGGGGAGCUGCUGGGGUGAGCGGCGUGGGUCCGACGCUUAGCUCAAAUGACCCCCAGUUUGACUUUCUCUUCUACUGGCUACCGAUCAGACCUCGGGAUGUCAGUUCUGUCCCAGGCGGGGGGACAGAUAGUCAUAACCAAUGUCUAAACAACCACUCACUGAUUUUGUAUUUUAAUAAAGUUGUGGCCAAAAUAGUGCCC
Molecule: long non-coding RNA, 5623 nt
Filed under: Podarcis lilfordi (Lilford's wall lizard)
Lineage: Eukaryota; Metazoa; Chordata; Lepidosauria; Squamata; Lacertidae
Source: RNAcentral